Molecule: ribosomal RNA, 161 nt
Filed under: uncultured bacterium
Lineage: Bacteria
Description: partial 16S ribosomal RNA
Rfam family: Bacterial small subunit ribosomal RNA
Source: RNAcentral
UGGGGAAAUCUUGGACAUGGGGGCAACCCUGAUCCAGCGAUGCCGCGUGAGUGAAGAAGGCCUUCGGGUCGUAAAGCUCCUUAGGUUGGGAGGAAGGCUAGUAGUUUAAGAGAUAACUAGUUUGACUGUACCGACAGAAUAAGCACCGGCAAACUCUGUGC